RNAcentral lists this long non-coding RNA (1246 nucleotides) under Dromaius novaehollandiae (emu). Its description in RNAcentral is "lncRNA (ENSDNVG00000016444.1)". Lineage: Eukaryota; Metazoa; Chordata; Aves; Casuariiformes; Dromaiidae. The record is from RNAcentral.
AUGCCACAGGGAAAGACUUGGCCCAGGGGCUGCUGCCCUCACGCUUUUAACCUGUGCCUGCCCCUCCACCCCCCCCCCCACAGCAGAGCCCCUUCCAGCCCCCAUUCCUUCCAGCACUCCAGGAGGAAGCAGAACCACCCAAACUUCUUGCCUCGCUUCAUACCUCCAGGGCACRCGAUGGAGAAACAAGGUUCAGUAGCAAAAAUGAAGACGGUGAACGGACAGCUGGAAAGCGUGGUGGCCCAAACCAAGCCUUCUGAUUUCAAUCUGCCUAAUCUCAAAGGUUAGCAGGAUGUAAACGAGGUUGGAGACAGGAAGCUUACCUCAAUAUCUGGAUCCAGGGCCACAUUCAGAAUCACUUCACUGAAAUGAAGAGUCUUGGACUGAUCUUCAUACUCCUUUGCUGAUGCUCUAGCAGACCCAUUCUAUGGAAAUAGGCACCCCUUUCUUCAGACAGCAUUAAUGCUAAAACAGCUCCUUGUAACCCUACAGUGAGGUUACUAAUGCAUAUCUUUACACAGGAAUUAUUUCCUACAUCUAUGUUUUGACAAUACACUUACUGGAAUAUUUUUCAUGCAUGAUGUGUACAAAAUGAGUCAAUGCAGCGUUUUUUUUCUUUAAACCACUAUCAUACACGUAUUUUGUUAAAGAAACAAGGGCUAUAAACCCCUCAAAUACACACAGUAUCUGGCAUCCUGAUUGUGGCACAAUGUCAUUUUUCUGCCUUUAUGUUCUUGCUGGUACAGGGCAUAUCAAUGGCUAUUUUAAACCUCUGAGCUAUGCAGGUGGGCUGUCCAUUUUCAGGGCACUGUGACCGCUUCUCUCAUGACCAUGGUCCUUUACAAUUCUACUUUGGUUCCACUUAACAGUCACAAGUUCCUGUUGAAAGACAUUCCUACUUUUGUAGGCCAGAAGGAAUUUUAAAGGGAUCUACACAGUUUCAGUGCUGGACAUGGCUGGCGGGGGGGGGAUGACAAAACCCCAAAGCAAAAACUCAAAUCAAAAUGCCUCAGCAUCCAUACCAAUCCUUUAUGCUUCCUGUCCAGUCUCUCUUUCAAGUGAUGCAGUAUGAGCRGCAUCUUUCUACUGCCCUGCCAAUGACACCAAAGCCACUGUGCAUUCAAGGACUUUUGAAGACUAGACUAGCUGGAACGCAAGCUGGGAAUGUGCUAUUGUGUCUCCAUUUGAGGUUGGAUCCUUUUUUGGUUUGGAUGAAUGAUGCUUUCCCUAAACCCACUACAAAGCU